AUGGAGGACGGCCGGAGCGACGCCAAGGAGGCCAGCAUGGUCGAGCUGGCCUUGUCCUUGGAGAAGGUCCGCCAGAUCGAGGGCGGCGGCGACAAUGCCGACGGCCAGAAGAAGCUGUGGGGGCUCCUCCGUCUGUUCAUGGCCUGCAUGGUCUCCGGCGGCAUCCAGUACGGCUGGGCGCUGCAGCUCUCCCUCCUCUCGCCCUACUCCCAGACGCUUGGGAUUCCCCACCAGUACGUUUCCCUAACCUGGAUUUGCGGUCCCAUCGCUGGAUUUGUGGUGCAACCCAUCGUCGGCUACUACAGCGACCGGUGCACCGCCAGGAUGGGCCGGCGGCGGCCCUUCAUCCUCGUCGGAUGCCUCAUAAUCUGCGUCUCGGUGCUCCUCAUUGGCUUCUCUGCGGACAUCGGGCGCGCGCUCGGCGACACCAAGGAGCACUGCAGCGUGAGUACGGGCCCACGAUGGGCCGCCGCCGCCAUCUACAUUGUUGGCUUCUGGUUCCUCGACUUCGCCAACAACACCGUCCAGGGGCCGGCUCGUGCCAUGAUGGCCGAUCUUUCCGCUGGGAACCAUGGCCCCAACGUCGGCCAGGCGGUCUUCUGCCUCUGGAUGGCCAUCGGCAACGUCCUCGGCUACACGGCCGGCGCCAACGGCAAGUGGCACGAGUGGUUCCCUUGGCUGAAAUCUUCGGCGUGCUGCGACGCGUGCGCAAACCUCAAGGGCGCCUUCCUCACCGCUGUGAUCCUCAUCGUCAUCAGCAUGACGGUCACCAUGUACCUCGCCGGCGAGAAGCAGCUCGACAAGGCCGACGUGCAGGCCGCCUCCGGCCGCGGGUGCUUCUCCGCCUUCGGCGACCUCUUCAAGAGCUUGAGGAACCUUCCCCCUUCCAUGUUCAAAGUGCUCGCCGUCACGGCCAUUACCUGGCUCGCCUGGUUCCCCUUCUUCCAGUACGACACCGACUGGAUGGGCCGGGAGAUCUACCACGGCGUGCCGCAGGGCCCCAAGUCGUCCGUCUACGACGCCGGCGUCCGCGAGGGCGCCAUCGGCCUGCUCCUCAGCUCCAUCACCCUCGGGGCCACCUCCUUCCUCAUCCCCAAGCUCUGCCGCAAGCUCACGUCCAAGGUCGUCUGGUCCAUCAGCAACUUCAUGGUGUUCGGCAUCAUGACGGCGAUGGUCGUCGUCGGCCUGAUCUCCACCAAGGGGUACAACCUCAAGGCCAUCGCGCUCACGCUCUUCGCGCUCAUCGGAAUCCCGCAGGCCGUACUGUUCAGUGUGCCAUGGGCUGUUGCUUCUGAAGUCGUUGCCGCGGAGGAGGAUGAUGGCCAAGGCCAAGGCCAAGGCCUCGCCAUUGGUGUCCUCAACAUUGCCAUCGUCGUGCCGCAGCUGAUCAUCGCGCUCACCGCCGGCCCCAUCGACAAGGCCUUCGGGAAGGACAACACGCCGGCGUUCGGCAUUGGCGGCGCCUUCGCCUUCAUCUGCGCCAUCCUGGCGCUCAUCCUGCUGCCCAAAACAAGGGGCAAUUCCAACGCCGCCGUCAUGGCCGGAGGGCACUGA
RNAcentral lists this ribosomal RNA (1554 nucleotides) under Triticum aestivum (bread wheat). Its description in RNAcentral is "partial small subunit ribosomal RNA". Lineage: Eukaryota; Viridiplantae; Streptophyta; Magnoliopsida; Poales; Poaceae. The record is from RNAcentral.